AUACUAUUCUUUUUAAAACUCAAAAAAAGAGGUAACCUAAUAGAGGACGAGUAUAAUAGAGAUAUUAAAAAAAAAACGUACUCCUACCCGACCACCGCCGUCUGCCCCCGCCGGCGCCUCUAAUACCACCGCGCCUCCAUGAAGGAGUGCGCCAGCGUACGCAAUGCCUUCGAUGUUUUACUGGCUUCUGCUCGAAGAAACCGGCCUGAGCUCAAACGCUUUAGAUCUACUGAUGAUGCUGAUGAUAAUGGCAAGAAACCAAAAUCAACCGCAACAGCAACAGCAACAGCAACAGAGACAGAGACGACAGUUCGUUUGAACUCGUUUGAUCAACUUAAGGCUACGGUACAGUUGUUAAAGAGAGAACCGAGCUCGUUUGAUCUCGAGGCUGUGGCUAGUUGUUUACUUGGUGGAGGCGACAGAGACGCAAUGGUGCUUCCUUUCGUAUUUGUUUGCUUUGCUUACGAGCUCAUGUCCGCCGAAUCUCAACGAACUGUAAUUAAAAACAUUGGUUGUAAUAUGUUUAGGGUUGCCAUCACUUGUUCUUCUUCCCCGCAGGAGACUUUACUCGCAAUUUUACGGCUUUCAUCUUAUAAAAUUGUUCCACUUGAGGAGGGAGGAUCGGAUCAGCUUGGUAUAGGGGAACAUAACAUUAUUAAGGCCAUUGCAAAUGCAUAUGGUGCAGAUUUAGCUGCCACAAAACGCCGCUUUAAGGAAGUCGGAGAUUUGGGUCUUUUGGCUCAAACCACUCGUUCUUCUCAAUCCAAGUUAUUUAAUUUCAAAGCCAAGCCUUUAUCUGUAUCACAUGUUUACUCUAGCUUUCAGGAGAUUGCCGAGGUGUCUGGGAAUGAUAGCAAAAAGAAGAAGAUACAUAUUCUAGAGCGACUUCUUGCUGCUGCCAGUAAUUGCGAACCCAAGUACCUAAUUCGUCUUUUACUGCCUAAGAAAGGUUUGGGUAUCGGAUUUUCAGAUGCCACUAUUAUAGAUGCAUUAGGAUGUGCAGCUGUCUUUCUUGAGAAAGAAAAUCCGCCUACUUUUCAGCAGGCUGUAGAGAUUGUCAAACGAGCUUAUGCUGUUCUUCCUGUCUAUGAGAAGAUAGUUAAUGCUCUAUUUAGUGUUGGUGUGAGGAACCUUCCAAAGGUCUGCGGUCUUUCAUUGGGUAUCCCAUUAGAGCCGAUGUUAUCGAAACCAAUUGGAUCCAUAGCUGAUGUUGUGAAUGAAUUUGGGAAUGUACCUUACUCUUGUGAAUACAAGUAUGAUGGUGAAAGAGCUCAGAUACAUUUACUCGAGAAUGGCAAGGUUGAAAUUUAUAGUAGAAGCCUUGAACGUAGUACAGGGAAGUUUCCAGACGUUGUUGAUACUGUAACAAGACUCAAACGACCUUGUGUAAAGUCAGUUAUUCUGGAUUGCGAACUUGUUGCCUACGACCGUGACGAAGGAAAAAUUCUAUCUUUUCAGAAACUCAGCACUCGCAGUCGUAAGAAUGUUGAUAUUCAUGAUAUUAAGGUCAAUGCGUGCAUAUUUGCAUUUGAUUUGUUAUAUCUGAAUGGUCAAUCGCUUCUUGAGGAACCGCUCACUGAUCGUAGAGAGAAGUUACAUGCAGCAUUUGAGGAGGAACCUGGAUAUCUUGAGUAUGCAGCUGAAUUAACAUCAACUAAUGUAGAAAUGUUGCAAUUUUUCUUGGAGAAAUCUGCUUCUGAGAGCUGCGAGGGUCUGAUGAUUAAACAAUUGGGCAAGGUCUCCAUAUAUGAACCUGGAAAACGCAAGUGGCUUAAGUUAAAGAAAGAUUUCGUUGAAAGUAUGUGGGACUCGCUUGAUCUAGUACCUAUUGGUGCUUAUUCUGGCCGUGGCAAGCGUGCAGGUGUUUAUGGGACAUUUCUUCUUGCUUGCUAUGACCCUGAGACUGAAACGUUCCAAACCGUAUGCAAAGCAGGCUCUGGGCUUUCUGAUCAAAUGCUGCUUGAUUUUCAUGACAAUUUUCAGUCUAAGGUCCUAACCAGUGCAGAGCCUUACUACAAAUAUAAUGCAGACGGAGUUCAACCAGACGUGUGGUUUGAACCCUCAGAGCAGGAGCACAAUAAUAAUAAAUGAAAACAGAAAUAGGCUAUCAGUAAUGACACUUUAGCACCCUUUCCAGGCUCCAGCUCUAGUAGCCAGCUCAUGGGCCUUAGCAGUGUCAAUCCUACUAACCUUAAAACCUUUUACAUCAGCUAAACAUGUUACAUCAUGAUCAACCCUAUUAUGGUAAACCAUCGACUCACACAAAUAGCAGAAGGCUUCUUCCUUGAAUAACUGGAAUGGUCUAACAUGGAGGAAAUACCACCCUUUCUCUUCUUAACCGGAAUGGUUCUUCUCUCUUCUCUUAUCUUUUGGAUUAGUAGGAUGAAUUACAGUUGACAUACCGGAUAAUGUAGACCAAGUAAAUCCGUUUUCGGACGAGGCUCCCAUUUUCUCACUAGUACAGGGAACACGUGUUUCUUCGUGGAUAAAUUUAUCUUGCGUCAUUUCACCCAUUCUUGAAAUGUCUGUCCCAUCUUCAUUAUCCUUGAGAUAGAGUUGAUAUGCGAGUGAGAGGUUAGCAUCAGCUAGAGAUUUCUCCUCUUGUGCUAGUCUCUUCGAUUCCCUUGAGCUUAGUUCAUCUUGGACUUCACUCAAUAUGGGUGACGAGUCUGUAAGCGCCUUUACUGGGGCCUCCGUCAUGAUUUUUGCUUUUGGGUUGAACCUUCAAAUAUGACAUUGAAUUGGGAUCAUAGAACUGCAGCUCCCUUCCUUUCCUCAUCCUGUCAAUGUCUUUGUCGGAUAUUCUCAUGAGCAUGGAUGGAUUCUUUUUGUUCACAUAACUUAGCUUGCCUUUUUGACAACGAGCGGUCGAGGCGUGCUCCUUUUUGAGUCAUUUACCUUUCCAACUUCCAUGCUUAUCUUGGCAUUAGCUAAUGUCUGACUUCAAGCUUUGUUUUAGAUUUGUCGACAUUUUCAGAUAUGUCAACUACUUUUGUAUCCCCAUCAAAGGAAUGUCCCACUUGUUUUUCUAGCUUUGCUUUUUGAGGAGUAGAGCUUCUCAUCUCAUCUGAGGGAGCUUGCAUUUGAUCUCCCAAAGCAUUCCAAAUCACAUCCUUUUCUUCGAAUUCCUUUUCUUUAGAUUCCAGUCCCUUAAGAAGCAUUUUUUCCAAGUUCGUUAGUUCCCUGAGUAUCUUCUUGUUUUUUGGUUUUAAGUCCCUUGCUUUCCUUAAGUCUUCGCACGCAUCUUUCAGGUUCCCCGAUUUCACUAGACUUUGUCCUCUUCAAAACUGAGCCUUUACUAUUCUCUCAUCAAUCUCCAAUAUCAAUGAACAUAAGACAACGACUUGCUUCAAUUUGUUUAGCUAUAAAGCAGAAGCCCCUAAAUUCAAAUUAAGGUAUAUUACUAAUUCCCUAAGCACGGGAUUGUUCCACAUUCUAAAAGUGAUUCACACACUUCAGGAAUAGCAAUACGCUUUGUUAUAAUUGGCAAGAGCAUUGUUGAAAUCACUUAACUUGUGAAGUUGAUUUCCUUCAAAUUUGAGAGUUGAUGCGUAAUGAAUGUUUUCUUGAGGUCCAUCAAAAUCCUUGUAGAACUGUUCAACUUCUUUGUCAUCCUCAUAUAAUGAACUCCAAUGGUGAGCUAAAACUGGAGCAAGCCUAGAGUCCUUCUCCAAACCCUUUAGUUGAACCAUACUAGCAAACUAAUAUAUCCCAAGAAAGCAAAAUAUAAAACUCGAAAAAACAGAGCAAGCAACAAACAAAAUCCAAAUAGGUAGCAGGAGACAGAAAAACACCAACUAUUCCUCUUCGAAAUUCCUAGUUUCUUUUAAAGAUUUUUUAGAAGUGGGAGAAGGAAGAAGUGGAAUUGAAUUUGUAGAAGACUUAAGCAGAUCUGAACAUUUUCUUAAAAUCCUAUAAGGCCAACAAUUGGUGGAGAUCAGAUAGAGAAGAGAGCACCUGGGUUUCCCCUUACUACAGGAUCGAUCGAGUGAGAGUAGCACUGGCUCCCUGGCGCCGGUUCUACAGAGCAUGCCAUUGCCAGACGCCGGCGAGCCUGCUCAGACUUUGUUGUUUGGUUGAAAACGCGUGGGGUUAGGUGUGGGAGGUGAAAGCUGGUGGAAUAACAAUCAGUCCGGCUUAUUCUGCAGCUGUUGGUUUAGUUGAUGGUGUUGAUGCUGAUAAGGGUCUCUCUUUACGCAAUCCUGUUGUACUUCGUGUGCGUGCGGACAAGUCUCC
Beta vulgaris subsp. vulgaris (sugar beet) is the source of this 4236-nucleotide RNA transcript. It is a transcript of the gene named DNA ligase 1, with no coding region annotated. The record is from RefSeq and is a predicted model, not a curated record. The transcript has 16 exons. NCBI's taxonomy places the organism in Eukaryota, Viridiplantae, Streptophyta, Magnoliopsida, Caryophyllales, Amaranthaceae.